UGCACUCUUGGGAUGUAAUGACUUA
This 25-nucleotide non-coding RNA is filed under the name Rattus norvegicus (Norway rat). Lineage: Eukaryota; Metazoa; Chordata; Mammalia; Rodentia; Muridae. The record is from RNAcentral.